AGUGAACGCUGGCGGCAGGCCUAACACAUGCAAGUCGAACGGCAGCACAGUAAGAGCUUGCUCUUACGGGUGGCGAGUGGCGGACGGGUGAGGAAUACAUCGGAAUCUACUUUUUCGUGGGGGAUAACGUAGGGAAACUUACGCUAAUACCGCAUAUGACCUACGGGUGAAAGCAGGGGAUCUUUGGACCUUGCGCGAUUGAAUGAGCCGAUGUCGGAUUAGCUAGUUGGCGGGGUAAAGGCCCACCAAGGCGACGAUCCGUAGCUGGUCUGAGAGGAUGAUCAGCCACACUGGAACUGAGACACGGUCCAGACUCCUACGGGAGGCAGCAGUAGGGAAUAUUGGGCAAUGGGCGCAAGCCUGAUCCAGCAAUACCGCGUGAGUGAAGAAGGCCUUCGGGUCGUAAAGCCCUUUUGUUGGGAAAGAAAAGAAGCAGGUUAAUACCCCGCUGUUCUGACGGUACCCAAAGAAAAAGCAACGGCUAACUUCGUG
Molecule: ribosomal RNA, 492 nt
Filed under: uncultured bacterium
Lineage: Bacteria
Description: partial 16S ribosomal RNA
Rfam family: Bacterial small subunit ribosomal RNA
Source: RNAcentral